This 252-nucleotide ribosomal RNA is filed under the name uncultured Bacteroidales bacterium. RNAcentral describes it as "partial 16S ribosomal RNA". It matches the Rfam family "Bacterial small subunit ribosomal RNA", at positions 524 to 776 of the family's 1533-position model. Lineage: Bacteria; Pseudomonadati; Bacteroidota; Bacteroidia; Bacteroidales. The record is from RNAcentral.
UACGGAGGAUGCGAGCGUUAUCCGGAUUUAUUGGGUUUAAAGGGUGCGUAGGCGGGACCUUAAGUCAGCGGUAAAAUUGCGGUGCUCAACGCCGUAGAGCCGUUGAAACUGGGGUUCUUGAGUGAGCGAGAAGUAUGCGGAAUGCGUGGUGUAGCGGUGAAAUGCAUAGAUAUCACGCAGAACUCCGAUUGCGAAGGCAGCAUACCGGCGCCCGACUGACGCUGAAGCACGAAAGCGUGGGUAUCGAACAGG